UGUCGUGGACAAUCAUUCCUCUAGACGUACAUUUACACAUACGCUCAAGCAACCUACCCGAACUCUCAGCGGGCCACCGAUUGAGUUCCUAUUUGGUCUUGCUACGAGUGGAGUUUACCCUGCUGUGGAAUGUUACCACCCACACGGUGCGCUCUUACCGCACCCUUUCACCCUUACCGACAAAGCCGGCGGUCUGCUCUCUGUUGCACUGGUCGUAGGCUCACGCCCCCCGGACGUUAUCCGGCACUCUGCCCUGUGUAGCCCGGACUUUCCUCCCAAAAA
RNAcentral lists this unclassified non-coding RNA (282 nucleotides) under Pasteurellaceae bacterium I5. RNAcentral's name for it is "partial RNaseP". Lineage: Bacteria; Pseudomonadati; Pseudomonadota; Gammaproteobacteria; Pasteurellales; Pasteurellaceae. The record is from RNAcentral.